UGUAUCACAAGAAUGGUGUGUAUCACCAUAACUACAUCAUGCUCUGCUAUUGUGAUAUUGUAACUGUCAGCUUUUACACAGAACCCUUUUUGUUGUGUGUUGCUCCCAGUCAGUAAUUAUCGGUGCCAAUAAAUAAAUAAAUAAAUAAAUAUUAUAUUAGUGAAGCAGAACACAUAUCAGAAUUUGUUGGGGUUUUGUUUGUUUGUUUGUUAGUUUUUCUACUGAUGAAAUGUUAUAGCAGGAACCAAUCUAAUACUUAUGCAGAGCAACAACUAUUUUUAGUAAAGCAGUUUUCACUAGAUAUAAUUUGUGUAUGCUGAAUACAAUAUGUGAACCAUUGCAAAUUUAACUCCUCUGGGGUAGGAAAUAAAGUUGAUGGUGUACGUGACUAAGGUGAUUUUCAAAUUUCAGAAUAUGAUAUAGGUUUUGAUCUGCUAUUGCAAGGUCCCCAGUUGUAAGAUACUCCAGCAUAGGCAAACAAACAUGGUAUUCAAGUAUCCUUUUAUAGCAAGAAUACCUAUAGAUAAACUGUGAUUCGAAUUAAUGUAAUUUCUUACUUUAACUUCUUUUCAUUAAGACAGAUUGGCCUCAAGUAUUUGGAGGACAUGUCCCAGCUAAGCACACCUACUUUCAUUUUGCACCGUGUCAAUGCAUCUCUCGAAGUAAGGUAAGUAAGAACUGCUUAUUCAUGCUUCUUCCCCACCAGUACCUGAGAGUGUGGUACUCACUGUUGUGACAAAUUUCCUUCUCUCAACUAGAAGAGCUAUGUAUGAAACAUAUGCUCUUUUGGCUGGCCAUAUAUUGUGAGAAAGUUGUUUGGCAAACUCAUCUUUUGAUUUUUUACCAAUUGUGAUAAAACAUAUAAGGAAAAGUUUUUGAAAGAUGGCAUGAAAAGAGCUACUAACCUUAAUGUGUGAGACUGAGUUUUCUGUUGCUUCUUCAUGCCUUUAUUCUUUCUUUUCUACUCCAUUAUUUCUUCCUUUGUCUCUCCUCUCAGUCUCAUUUUCUUACUUCAAUCUUUUUUCUUUUUUUUUUUUCUCCUGGCUGGUCUCCAUAGAAAAUACUGCAGUAUUUAUUUAUUUUUUUCAUAUUAUUCUUGCCAAUACAGCAGUAUCCUUGACAAAGAGAAAAAAUAAGCUGCUGCUCUGGAGGUGGCUAGAAAACUGGCGUAAUACCAGUGAACAUAAUCCAAGCCUGGCAUGGGACAGACAAGGCAAUCUAAAAACUUUUCCUUACCUCUAAAAUCAAGCUUUUUGUGGAACCAGUAAGGAAAAGGGGCAGAUUACAAAACACUAAAAUCUGUCAUGACUUUUUAAUUUAUCUGUGAAGGGCUUAAAGUGCUCCAGAGAGACUGUCCUUAAGCAGGGGUUUUGCUCUCAGUGUUCAAUUUGCAUUUCAUCUUGUAUUAAACUAAAUAAUAAUAAGAUAACUACUUAAACUACUUCACCUCAACCCUUUGCUUUUGUUAAGCAGAUGAGAAUACCAUGCUAGGGACAGAGGCCAUCACUCUUAAACAGGCAGAUUUAGACAAACAGAUUUAGAAAAAAAUAGACAAAUUCAAUCUGGAAACGAGCAGAGUAAGUCCUAGACCAGCACUACAGUGCAGUGGACAUGGUUUCCAGCAAUCAUAUAAAGUGGAGAAGUCGAAGAUUAAGGCAGAUCCCAGAGAAGUUAAUAACCUAGGUAUAUGCAUAAAUUUCCUUUCCUUCCUUGCUUGUCUCUUGUCAAGCUUAGCUGCCUGCACCAAGCAUGGGCUUCAAGACCCGUGUAGAGGUGUCUGAGGGGUUUUGUCUUGCCUGUGUUUUGUGGAUCUGUGAUUUUUCUAGCCUUUGAGGAAAAGUACCUAAGCAUGUUUGGAUACAUUUGUUUAAUGAUUUCAAUUCUUGUUUUCAUUAUUUUGAAACACACACUUCUGAAAGACUGUAGAGAUAUCCUGUAUUCAAUAGAAAACAAAAUAUCCUCUUUAUUCCAAGGCCAUACUGUGUCAAUCCCUGGGGAGACAUCAAGCUCAUUUAUUAGCACAGGAGCCAGAUAAAUACAUGAUAGAAGCCACCACUGACACUGACACAAUAAACACUGUGGUGAAGGUUCA
This 2092-nucleotide long non-coding RNA is filed under the name Anas platyrhynchos platyrhynchos (common mallard). Its description in RNAcentral is "lncRNA (ENSAPLG00000027516.1)". The record is from RNAcentral. Lineage: Eukaryota; Metazoa; Chordata; Aves; Anseriformes; Anatidae.